Molecule: small nucleolar RNA, 79 nt
Organism: Drosophila eugracilis
Lineage: Eukaryota; Metazoa; Arthropoda; Insecta; Diptera; Drosophilidae
Product: small nucleolar RNA Me28S-Gm3255
Exons: 1
Source: RefSeq, a predicted model, not a curated record
GAUUAUAUGAUGCUUAAAUUUUCUGACAUCUCUAAUGAACCGUUGUGAUUCAAUCUCCAUACUAUAUUCAACUGAUGAC